Molecule: non-coding RNA, 477 nt
Filed under: Pongo abelii (Sumatran orangutan)
Lineage: Eukaryota; Metazoa; Chordata; Mammalia; Primates; Hominidae
Source: RNAcentral
GAGCUUGGACGCAAGGCUUCCAUGAGGCUGUGAAGGAGGCUGCAUGGAAACCGGUGGGGACCUGAAAAGCUUUUAGUGGCCUCGCCACAUACAGCACUUUAGAUGCUCAGGUGACGAGCAACAUUUUCCAAGCCCAGCUAGUGAGCACCCCACCUGCUCUGGCUUCCAGAACCUGGUGUGGAGGGCCGGGGGAGGCUUCGGGACUGAAGAGCAGAGCAGCAGACUCCGGGGCUCAUGUAGGAACAUGCCUUCAGCCAAAGAUUAUCCAUGCUGCAUGGAGACUCUUGCUAAAUAUCACUGAUGGAAUCUCACUCUGUCACCCAGGCUGCAGUGCGUGGCAUGAUGUCGGCUCACUGCAACCUCCACCUCUCGGGUUCAAGUGAUUCUCCUGCCUCAGCCUCCUGAGUAGCUGAGAUUACAGGCGUGCGCCACCACACCCUGCUAAUUUUUGUAUUUUUAGUAAAGAUGGGGUUUCAC